UGCCGAUCGUGCGGCGCACGCGCGCCCACAGCGGCUCCGCGUUGGGCUCGAAGACCACCCACUGCAGCCCGCGAUCGAUCGACUU
This 85-nucleotide unclassified non-coding RNA is filed under the name fungal sp. RNAcentral describes it as "partial internal transcribed spacer region". Lineage: Eukaryota; Fungi. The record is from RNAcentral.